GUUGCACAAGGCAUAGGGUAAAGGGAAAAUGCUCCUAUUAUUGAACGUUCCAGAAAUAUGAUCUUGAUGAACUAAGAAAGAAUAACUUGGAACCAACUGUGAUUCUUCACACAAUUCUCUGAAGACAGGUCCUUGACUAUUUGAGAGGUCCCCUUGACCAACCACCUGUUCUGCUUAACGUUAAGAACAAGUGAACGAGAUAGAAUCAUAGAAUCCUGUUGGAAGGGACCUCUGAGCUCAUCUACUCCAGCUACCUUCCAGUAGACAAGAAUAUCCACAGCUAGAUAAGGUUGCCCAGGGCCUUAUUUAGCCUCACUUUGAAAG
RNAcentral lists this long non-coding RNA (324 nucleotides) under Phasianus colchicus (ring-necked pheasant). RNAcentral's name for it is "lncRNA (ENSPCLG00000020446.1)". Lineage: Eukaryota; Metazoa; Chordata; Aves; Galliformes; Phasianidae. The record is from RNAcentral.